This 94-nucleotide transfer RNA is filed under the name Methylobacterium crusticola. Its description in RNAcentral is "tRNA-Gln". The record is from RNAcentral. Lineage: Bacteria; Pseudomonadati; Pseudomonadota; Alphaproteobacteria; Hyphomicrobiales; Methylobacteriaceae.
CGGCCCGGUAGGGGCCGGCGACGCCCCGGCGGGCGUCCUGGGCGCUCGCGAGGGACGGCGCGUCCCGCGCGUCGCCCGGCUCGACCGAGACGAC